UAGACCGCCUGGGGAGUACGGCCGCAAGGUUAAAACUCAAAUGAAUUGACGGGGGCCCGCACAAGCGGUGGAGCAUGUGGUUUAAUUCGAUGCAACGCGAAGAACCUUACCUGGUCUUGACAUCCACGGAAGAAUUCAGAGAUGGAUUUGUGCCUUCGGGAACCGUGAGACAGGUGCUGCAUGGCUGUCGUCAGCUCGUGUUGUGAAAUGUUGGGUUAAGUCCCGCAACGAGCGCAACCCUUAUCCUUUGUUGCCAGCGAUUAGGUCGGGAACUCAAAGGAGACUGCCAGUGAUAAACUGGAGGAAGGUGGGGAUGACGUCAAGUCAUCAUGGCCCUUACGACCAGGGCUACACACGUGCUACAAUGGCGCAUACAAAGAGAAGCGACCUCGCGAGAGCAAGCGGACCUCAUAAAGUGCGUCGUAGUCCGGAUUGGAGUCUGCAACUCGACUCCAUGAAGUCGGAAUCGCUAGUAAUCGUGGAUCAGAAUGCCACGGUGAAUACGUUCCCGGGCCUUGUACACACCGCCCGUCACACCAUGGGAGUGGGUUGCAAAAGAAGUAGGUAGCUUAACCUUCGGGAGGGCGCUUACCACUUUGUGAUUCAUGACUGGGGUGAAGUCGUAACAAGGUAACCGUAGGGGAACCUGCGGUUGGAUCACCUCCUUACCUUAAAGAAGC
This 680-nucleotide ribosomal RNA is filed under the name Salmonella enterica subsp. enterica serovar Mbandaka. RNAcentral's name for it is "bacterial SSU rRNA". It matches the Rfam family "Bacterial small subunit ribosomal RNA", at positions 865 to 1533 of the family's 1533-position model. Lineage: Bacteria; Pseudomonadati; Pseudomonadota; Gammaproteobacteria; Enterobacterales; Enterobacteriaceae. The record is from RNAcentral.